This is a long non-coding RNA of Amphiprion ocellaris (clown anemonefish), 2712 nucleotides long. Lineage: Eukaryota; Metazoa; Chordata; Actinopteri; Pomacentridae. The record is from Ensembl.
CAAUGACAACCGCCCGUCGCAGAGCCCCUGAAGGGGCCCCCUCUGCCGUGAGUCAAAGUCGCCCCUCCCUCACCUCCUUCUCUCUGUCAGACAGAGGGAGAGGGGGAGAGAGAGGUGCCCACAGCGUGUGCAGCUGCUCUUCAGUAAAUAAAAACAUGGAGGCGUAACUGCGGAGAGGACGAUAGAUAAUGAAGAGAAGUUAUCCUUCUGGAAGUGAAAAAAGAAAGAAAAAAAAGGAGGAGGAAGAGAAAAGAAAACAAGAAAGCGGAUCCCUAAGGAGAUUUUUCACUUCAAAAGGUGUUGUGACACCUUCUUCAGAUACGGAUCAUACAAGUUUUUCUCUCUACAUCUGUUCUCUGAGCCACUAGAUGGAGACACCGGAUCAGUUUAGGUUCUUGAUGGGUUUCAGUCAGGACUUUGGACAGACCAGUCUAAACCUUCAUUCCAGCCUGAUAGAACCAUUUCUUUACCACUAAAUGAGUCAUUUCUGACCAAUUUUGAGUCAUUUUUAACCAAUCUAGACAGGUUUCAAGUCAUUUCUGAGCCAAGUUGAACAGGUUUUGUCAUUUUAAGUGAUUCUGAACCAAUUCUUGGUCAUUUUGGACAUUUUUCUGUCAUUUUGAACACAUUUGAUUCAUUUUCAACAUGUUUUACUCGUGGAUAAUUUCUGACCUAUUUUGGGGCAAAUUUUAAACCAUUUUGGACUAAUUUUGAGUCAUUUUGAGCAACUUUUAAAUCAUUUUGAGCAACCUUUAAAUCAUUUUGAACCACUUCUUAGUCAUUUUGGAUCAUGUCUGAGCUGUCAAUUCAUCACAUCAGAUUAUAUUAAACAUGUUAUGUACAGGCAUGAACAAAAGUUUACUAGUAGAGGCCAUGUUGAUGAUGGCAGCCUUCAGCUUAUAAUGACUCCUAGAACUCUGAAAUCAUUGAAACACGCAAAUCUUUGUCACAUAAAAAACAAUCCUGUAUUUUCGUCCUUUCAUAGAUUUAUUAAAGGUCUCCUGGUUUAUCUUUGACGCCUCUGGACAGAAUUGGUGACUCAGACUUGUUUCUUCAUCAGGUUCUUGAUGGGUUUAAGUCAGGACUUUGGGGAGACCAGUCUAGAACCUUCAUUCUAUCCUGAUGGAACCAUUUCUUUACCACGUCUGAUGUGUGUUUGGGCUCAUUGUCUUGUUGAAACAUCCAAGAACAUAAACAACUUUUUUUAAUCUAAAUCUUAUCUUAACACAGUUAAUGUAUUAACUUAUUUAUGUGUGUAUGCAUGUAUUUAUUGAUUUAUUUAGUACUGUUAACAUAUCAGAGUUCUGAGUGAAUUUUUCUUAAGAUAGGCAAAGGCCAUUUAUUGAUUACAUAGAGGCUGUUAAAUGUUUAUUAAAAACUAAAAAGCAUUUAAAAAAAAACAACUUAGGCAUUUAUUGAGUCACUAAAACACUGUAGAGUACAGACCACAUCAGCAUGAUUCUAAGCAUCCUCUGGUAAAUGAACAACCAGAUACUGAUGUCUCUCACCAUAUGGACUUCAGGAGAUGAUUAGAUGAUGAUAAACUGUGACCUACUGGUUGGGUUCUCUCUGUUCUCAUGUUUCUUACAUGUUUGUCCCCUGACAGCCGGGUCCUAAUGUUUUUUGAGCAACACACCAUAGUAUGAUGUUUUUACAAUGAUGGUUCUACUAUGGAACCAGUUUGACAUGUUCAGGUGUUCUUUGUGUGAAAACUCAGAGACUUCAGGUAUCAGAAAGUGGUUUUCAACUUUCUUUGUUAACUUUCUGCUUCAACUUUAAAUUAAAUUUCCUUCACUAACCCCGCCCUCUGGACUUCCAGUAAGCUGUGUUCCUAUUGGCUGUCCAGGUGGCUGCUUGGUGUUAUCAGGAACACCUGAGCUGCUUGGUGUUAUCAGGAACACCUGAGCUGCUUGGUGUUAUCAGGAACACCUGAGCAGCUCACUGUCUUCCUGCUUUAUUUAGCUGCAGACAAACAUUUCCUCUGCUUCUGUUCACCACAGAACCGGGUUUGGCUCCGGUUGCUUGAGUUUGUUCUUUAGACGUUGGCUUGCAGCUUCCAGCAGUAAAAUCGUCUUUAAUGUGUUUCUUGGUGUGUUUUAGGGCUUUGUACUGGAUAGUUGUCUUGGUAAAUGUGGUUCUUUAGCCACAGUUAGCACAUGGUGCUAAUGUGUGCAGUGAUUAGUGGAUUUGAUGCAGCUGAGUUGUGUCUUUAUCUUGGCUGUAGUGAGUCUUCAGAGGUUUCUGGUCAGACACAUUCUGUAUUCUUGUUUGAGAACCAGCGUUGGUUGUCCAGAAGGUAAGAGUUCCUGUCCUGAUUCUCUGUUCUCAGAGGUUCUCUGGUAGGCUGCAGGAGACUUUAGUGUUUGGGUUGUGCUAGUUUGGUUUUUGUAUGGUUUCAUUUGGACGACUAUCUUGAGGCUCCUCCAUGUGGUUUAGUGAGGUUUUCUGUAACAGUUCUACAAAGCAACCUGCAGCAGAAGAGACUUUCAGAGUUUUUAGGAAGUUCUGGAGACCAGACUUUAGAGCAGCAGGAACAUUUGUCAGCAGUUUGAGCAGGAGAAGGUGAGCUUCAGAGUAGAAAUGAGAUGGAAACCUUCUUGACCCGUGUGGUGAGGUCCUGUACCAAGAGUUUGAGCAGGUUGUGAAGAGUCUGUAGUUCUUUGGUCUGAAAGCACAAGAAGAGUCGACUCAUUAAAGGAGAAAACAGGAGAU